RNAcentral lists this non-coding RNA (148 nucleotides) under Nomascus leucogenys (northern white-cheeked gibbon). Lineage: Eukaryota; Metazoa; Chordata; Mammalia; Primates; Hylobatidae. The record is from Rfam by way of RNAcentral.
GCCAGGCAUGGUGGCGCAUGCCUGUAAUUCCAGCUACUCAGGAGGCUGAGGCAGGAGAAUCGCUUGAACCCAGGAGGCGGAGACUGCAGUGAGCCAAGAUCAUGCCACUGAACUCCAGCCUGGGUGACAGAGUGAGACUCCGUCUCAA